UUCGGCGGGGGAGUACACUGGCGGACGGGUGAGUAACACGUAGGCAACCUACCCCUAUGACCGGGAUAACCAUGCGAAAGCGUGGCUAAUACCGGAUGUGGUCAUGCUGACGCCUGUUGGCAUGAUUAAAGGCUGGUUCUCAUUAGGGGGCUAGCGCAUAGGGAUGGGCCUGCGUCCCAUUAGCUAGUUGGUAGGGUAACGGCCUACCAAGGCGACGAUGGGUAGCUGGCGUGAGAGCGUGGCCAGCCACACUGGGACUGAGACACGGCCCAGACUCCUACGGGAGGCAGCAGUGGGGAAUAUUGGACAAUGGGCGCAAGCCUGAUCCAGCGACGCCGCGUGGGGGAUGAAGCUCUACGGAGUGUAAACCCCUGUCAGAGGGGAAGAAAGUCGUGUGUUCGCAAGGGCACACGUUUGACGGUACCCUCAGAGGAAGCUCCGGCUAACUCCGUGCCAGCAGCCGCGGUAAUA
RNAcentral lists this ribosomal RNA (471 nucleotides) under uncultured bacterium. RNAcentral describes it as "bacterial SSU rRNA". It matches the Rfam family "Bacterial small subunit ribosomal RNA", at positions 79 to 525 of the family's 1533-position model. The record is from RNAcentral.